RNAcentral lists this long non-coding RNA (1033 nucleotides) under Mus musculus (house mouse). RNAcentral describes it as "long non-coding RNA chr8:126518515-126519548". The record is from RNAcentral. Lineage: Eukaryota; Metazoa; Chordata; Mammalia; Rodentia; Muridae.
UGGCCUUUAGAGGCAGGUAAUUAAAUCAGCAAGAGAGGGAGGGGCGAACAGUAAUGGAGACAAAAGAGCCAGGCUAAAAAUACAAGGGAAGGACCAGAGCUGACCGGAUACCAGUCCUUGAAGGCACAGUAUUGAUCAUGCCCAGGUUUACAGCACACCCCUCCCACUCUGCUCUGUUUUCCCUCCUCCACCCCUCUCCUCUACCCACCCAUUUCCUUUUCUUCUUUCCUUUAUUUAUUUGUUUGCUUACUUAUGUGGGUUUUUGUUUGUUUGUUUGUUUUGUUUUGUUUUUUGAGACAGGGUCUUUCUGCGUAAUUCAGGCCUUAAACUCACACCAUCCUUUCUACCUCAACCUCCCAGGUGUUGGAUUGCAGGUAUAUGCCACCACUCCUAGGUUAACCCAUUCUUUGUUUGUUCUCUGUGUGUGUAUGUGUGUGUGUGUGUGUGUGUGUGUGUGUAUGCGUGCGUGUGUGUGUGUGUGUGUGUAUGCGUGCGUGUGUGUGUGUGCGUGUGUAUGCGUGUGUGUGUGUGUGUGUGUGUGUGUGUGUGUGUGUGUGUGUGUGUUGAUGUACAUGUGAAGGCAUAUGGAGGUGAGAGUCAACCCCAGGUAUUUUUCCUCAAAUGCUAUUAUCUACCUCAAAUGCUAUGCGUUUUUGAGGCAAGAUCUCUCCCUGGCCUGGGUCUCACUACUAGGCUGACUGGCCAGUGAGCCCCAGGAAUCUUCUGUCUCUGCUUCCCCUGCUCUGGGAUCACUUUUGCUUGCCGCCACACUAGGUUUUUUGCAUCAUUUCUGGUGUCUGGCUCAGGCCCCUCUACUUGCAGCUAAGCUGUCUCCCCAGCCCUCAGCUCAUUUCUUUCAGGUAACUUUUGGGGUUGUGUUGUUUUCCGCCUAGGAGAUGUUUAAGGGCAAACCUCUGAAUUUACUAGAAAAAUUGACAUGUGUAUACACAUUUAUUCUGAAAGGAUUCCUAGAUUUGGUUCGUUUCUCUAACGAGAUCCAAGAGGCUCCACCCCAAGGAAGACCGCUGGAACC